Molecule: non-coding RNA, 72 nt
Organism: Phrynosoma platyrhinos (Desert horned lizard)
Lineage: Eukaryota; Metazoa; Chordata; Lepidosauria; Squamata; Phrynosomatidae
Source: the annotation of a GenBank genome assembly
ACCAGGGUGGUGUAGUGGUUUGAGUGUUGGAUUACAACUCUGGAGACCAGGGAUUGAAUCCCUGCUUGGCCA